Molecule: long non-coding RNA, 294 nt
Filed under: Nicotiana benthamiana
Lineage: Eukaryota; Viridiplantae; Streptophyta; Magnoliopsida; Solanales; Solanaceae
Description: long non-coding RNA (NBEN_LNC001687)
Source: RNAcentral
AAAAAAGGAAAAAGCCCUAAAUUUGACUUAAACUUCUAUGUAACAGUUGCUAAAUGCUACAUCGAACAAAUUAUCGGAGAAGAACGAAUCAGUAGAGAAUUGUUCUACGACAAAUUCAGCGAAUUAGCGGCUCGUCACCUUCAUCGACAACAGCGGCUCAUCACCUUCAUCGACAACAACAUCUCAUAUUUUAGGUUCUUCUCAUCUUUAAGGUUAAUUGCUUAUUUAAAUCUAAUAUAUUAUUGAUUUUCAAUCUUGGCCUCUCAUCCCUUUUAUAUACGAUGUACUCUUGAA